Long non-coding RNA from Cygnus olor (mute swan), 460 nucleotides. RefSeq lists it as uncharacterized. NCBI's taxonomy places the organism in Eukaryota, Metazoa, Chordata, Aves, Anseriformes, Anatidae. The record is from RefSeq and is a predicted model, not a curated record. The transcript has 3 exons.
AGGUCUGUGGCAAAACACCCAGAUGGAGAAGUGCUUGGGUGCUAAGGUGUAGACCACCCCCUGGUGCCCAUGCUCCUCGGCGUUGUCCUGUGCAGCUCCCCUCCCUCUGCAGGCCUGCUCUCCCUUUCACCUGGCCACUUGCUAGCUCUGUGAUUGAGCUGUGACUUUCAGCUCUCAUUGUGUUGUUUCGCACUCCGCCCGUUACUCUUGGCUGAAGGGCAUUUGCUCCCUGCACGAAGUGAUCUGCCUCAGUGUGGGCUCAGGCUCACAGAGGUCUCCAUAGCAUCUGCUGGCUCUGACCUGCCACUGGUACCUAUUUUAAAAUCUGAAUUAACAUAUACUGUGCGGGCAGUGAGCAGAGAAGAAAAUACUUCAGAAGCUCCUGCUUUGGAGGUGUCCCUUCAAAUUUGGGGCAGGGAGAAUUUGCACCUGUACCUCUGCAGACACAGCAUGAUGCCAG